GCCCGGAUAGCUCAGCGGGUAGAGCAAAGGAUUGAAACUCCUUGCGCCUUGGUUCGAUUCCGAGUCCGGGCACCA
This 75-nucleotide transfer RNA is filed under the name Escherichia coli. Its description in RNAcentral is "tRNA-Phe". It matches the Rfam family "tRNA". Rfam says of the family: Transfer RNA (tRNA) molecules are approximately 80 nucleotides in length. Their secondary structure includes four short double-helical elements and three loops (D, anti-codon, and T loops). Lineage: Bacteria; Pseudomonadati; Pseudomonadota; Gammaproteobacteria; Enterobacterales; Enterobacteriaceae. The record is from RNAcentral.